GUGACAGAAGAGAGUGAGCACACGGCCGGGCGUGAUGGCACCGGCGCGGAUGUGCCGUCGCGGCCGCGUGCUCACUACUCUUUCUGUCAU
This 90-nucleotide microRNA precursor is filed under the name Setaria italica (foxtail millet). RNAcentral describes it as "mir-156 microRNA precursor family". It matches the Rfam family "mir-156 microRNA precursor family". From Rfam's summary of the family: This family represents the plant microRNA (miRNA) precursor mir-156. Lineage: Eukaryota; Viridiplantae; Streptophyta; Magnoliopsida; Poales; Poaceae. RNAcentral also lists the same sequence under 1 other name. The record is from Rfam by way of RNAcentral.